AGGUAUCUUAACUAAUUACAAUUAGCAGGACCUGCCUGACAACCCAUGCCGAAAGUAAAGGGAAUUUAAUUUGCUAGCACUAUAUUUAACCCUAUAACUUUCCGAGACACCACAAAACCUGUACAUGGGGGGUACUGUUCUACUCGGGAGACUUCGCUGAACACAAAUAUGAGUGUUUCAAAACAGUAAAAUGUAUUACAACGAUGAUAUCGCCAGUAAAAGUGAAUUUUUUUGCAUUUUUCACGCACAAACAGCAUUACAC
RNAcentral lists this long non-coding RNA (262 nucleotides) under Pelobates cultripes (western spadefoot toad). The record is from RNAcentral. Lineage: Eukaryota; Metazoa; Chordata; Amphibia; Anura; Pelobatidae.